GAUGAACGCUGGCGGCAUGCCUAACACAUGCAAGUCGAGCGGCAGCAUGCUCACUGAAUCUUUCACGCGUUUGGAAGGUUUUGUGAGUGAUGGCGAGCGGCGGACGGCUGAGUAACGCGUGGGAAUCCACCCCAAAGUGAGGGAUAACGCACCGAAAGGUGUGCUAAUACCGCAUAUGGUCUUCGGAUUAAAGUUUUAACGCUUUGGGAGGAGCCCGCGUCGGAUUAGAUAGUUGGUGAGGUAAUGGCUCACCAAGUCGACGAUCCGUAGCUGGUCUGAGAGGAUGAUCAGCCAGACUGGAACUGAGAUACGGUCCAGACUCCUACGGGAGGCAGCAGUGAGGAAUAUUCCACAAUGGGCGAAAGCCUGAUGGAGCAAUGCCGCGUGCAGGAUGAAGGCCCUCGGGUUGUAAACUGCUUUUAUAUGAGAAGACUAUGACGGUAACAUAUGAAUAAGGACCGGCUAACUACGUG
RNAcentral lists this ribosomal RNA (473 nucleotides) under uncultured organism. Its description in RNAcentral is "bacterial SSU rRNA". It matches the Rfam family "Bacterial small subunit ribosomal RNA", at positions 28 to 507 of the family's 1533-position model. The record is from RNAcentral.